AGUGAACGCUGGCGGCAGGCCUAAUACAUGCAAGUCGAACGGCAGCACAGUGGAGCUUGCUCCAUGGGUGGCGAGUGGCGGACGGGUGAGGAAUACAUGGGAAUCUGCCCAGUCGUGGGGAUAACGUAGGGAAACUUACGCUAAUACCGCAUGCGCCUUCGGGGGAAAGCCGGGGACCGUAAGGCCUGGCGCGAUUGGAUGAGCCCAUGUCGGAUUAGCUAGUUGGCGGGGUAAAGGCCCACCAAGGCGACGAUCCGUAGCUGGUCUGAGAGGAUGAUCAGCCACACUGGAACUGAGACACGGUCCAGACUCCUACGGAGGCAGGCAGUAGGG
This 333-nucleotide ribosomal RNA is filed under the name uncultured bacterium. RNAcentral's name for it is "bacterial SSU rRNA". It matches the Rfam family "Bacterial small subunit ribosomal RNA", at positions 29 to 359 of the family's 1533-position model. The record is from RNAcentral.